Molecule: ribosomal RNA, 1454 nt
Filed under: uncultured bacterium
Lineage: Bacteria
Description: 16S ribosomal RNA
Rfam family: Bacterial small subunit ribosomal RNA
Source: RNAcentral
GUUUGAUUAUGGCUCAGAGUGAACGCUGGCGGCGUGCCUAAUACAUGCAAGUCGAACGAUGAAGCUCUAGCUUGCUAGAGUGGAUUAGUGGCGCACGGGUGAGUAAUGCAUAGAUAACAUGCCCUUUAGUCUAGGAUAGCCAUUGGAAACGAUGAUUAAUACUGGAUACUCCUUACGAGGGAAAGUUUUUCGCUAAAGGAUUGGUCUAUGUCCUAUCAGCUUGUUGGUGAGGUAAUGGCUCACCAAGGCUAUGACGGGUAUCCGGCCUGAGAGGGUGAACGGACACACUGGAACUGAGACACGGUCCAGACUCCUACGGGAGGCAGCAGUAGGGAAUAUUGCUCAAUGGGGGAAACCCUGAAGCAGCAACGCCGCGUGGAGGAUGAAGGUUUUCGGAUUGUAAACUCCUUUUGUUAGAGAAGAUAAUGACGGUAUCUAACGAAUAAGCACCGGCUAACUCCGUGCCAGCAGCCGCGGUAAUACGGAGGGUGCAAGCGUUACUCGGAAUCACUGGGCGUAAAGAGCGCGUAGGCGGGAUAGCAAGUCAGAUGUGAAAUCCUAUGGCUUAACCAUAGAACUGCAUUUGAAACUGUUAUUCUAGAGUAUGGGAGAGGUAGGUGGAAUUCUUGGUGUAGGGGUAAAAUCCGUAGAGAUCAAGAGGAAUACUCAUUGCGAAGGCGACCUGCUAGAACAUAACUGACGCUGAUGCGCGAAAGCGUGGGGAGCAAACAGGAUUAGAUACCCUGGUAGUCCACGCCCUAAACGAUGAAUGCUAGUUGUUGUGGAGCUUGUCUCUGCAGUAAUGCAGCUAACGCAUUAAGCAUUCCGCCUGGGGAGUACGGUCGCAAGAUUAAAACUCAAAGGAAUAGACGGGGACCCGCACAAGCGGUGGAGCAUGUGGUUUAAUUCGAAGAUACACGAAGAACCUUACCUAGGCUUGACAUUGAUAGAAUCCGCUAGAGAUAGUGGAGUGCUAGCUUGCUAGAACUUGAAAACAGGUGCUGCACGGCUGUCGUCAGCUCGUGUCGUGAGAUGUUGGGUUAAGUCCCGCAACGAGCGCAACCCUCGUCCUUAGUUGCUAACUAUUCGGUAGAGCACUCUAAGGAGACUGCCUUCGCAAGGAGGAGGAAGGUGAGGAUGACGUCAAGUCAUCAUGGCCCUUACGCCUAGGGCUACACACGUGCUACAAUGGGAAGCACAAAGAGAUGCAAUAUUGUGAAAUGGAGCAAAUCUAUAAAACUUCUCUCAGUUCGGAUUGUAGUCUGCAACUCGACUACAUGAAGCUGGAAUCGCUAGUAAUCGUAAAUCAGCUAUGUUACGGUGAAUACGUUCCCGGGUCUUGUACUCACCGCCCGUCACACCAUGGGAGUUGUAUUCGCCUUAAGUCGGAAUGCCAAACUGGCUACCGCCCACGGCGGAUGCAGCAACUGGGGUGAAGUCGUAACAAGGUAACC